Molecule: ribosomal RNA, 497 nt
Filed under: uncultured bacterium
Lineage: Bacteria
Description: partial 16S ribosomal RNA
Rfam family: Bacterial small subunit ribosomal RNA
Source: RNAcentral
GAUGAACGCUGGCGGCGUGCCUAAUACAUGCAGGUCGAACGAACGGACGAUGAGCUUUCUCCCCUGACGUUAGCGGCGGACGGGUGGGUAACGCGUGGAUAAGAUACUUAUAAUACGUGGAUAACUUCGUGAAACAGGAUCUGAUACUGCAUAAUACAUUGUACCGGAUGGUUCAAUAGUUCAUGGCGGUUUUCCUGUCUCUUAUAGCUGAUUCCGCGUCGGAUUAGCUAGUUGGUAAGGUAACGGCUUACCAAGGCAACGAUGCGUAGCUGACCUGAGAGGAUGAUCGGCCACACUGGAACUGAGACACGGUCCAGACUCCUACGGGAGGCAGCAGUAGGGAAUCUUGGGCAAUGGGCGAAAGCUUGACCGAGCAACGCCGCGUGAGUGAUGAAGGUCUUCAGAUCGUAAAGCUCUGUUAUUAGGAAAGAACAGAUGUGUAAGUAAAUAUGGACGUCUUGACGGUACCCAAUCAGAAAGCACCGGCUAACUACGUG